Long non-coding RNA from Zingiber officinale, 173 nucleotides. RefSeq lists it as uncharacterized. NCBI's taxonomy places the organism in Eukaryota, Viridiplantae, Streptophyta, Magnoliopsida, Zingiberales, Zingiberaceae. The record is from RefSeq and is a predicted model, not a curated record. The transcript is spliced from 3 exons.
GGGAAUGGAUAAACAAGAUUGGGAAUGGUUGGUUAAAGAAUAUUUUUUAAGUGAAAGUUUUCAGAAAAUGAGUAAAACAAAUACACAGAAUAGAUCCUUGAAAUCUAUGCCACAUCGAACAGGAAGCAAGCCUUUUAGGCAAUUGGCAUAUGAAAUGGGAGGAAAAGAUGGAC